This 1019-nucleotide unclassified non-coding RNA is filed under the name Hevea brasiliensis (rubber tree). Lineage: Eukaryota; Viridiplantae; Streptophyta; Magnoliopsida; Malpighiales; Euphorbiaceae. The record is from RNAcentral.
AUAAAAUGUCUGAACAAUGAUAAACAACAUUGAAUAGACAAUAAUGUUUGUAUAUCAUCAGUGGACUAAUGUCCAGUAAAAAAAAUAAAAGAAAAUGCCGCACAUCCUGAUACUUUGCGAGUUGAUCGAUCUUGCCUAUAUAUGUGUCCAUAUAUCUUAAUUAGAAAUUUUAAUUAAUUACAAUUUAAUUUAUCAUUCUCGUCAAAAUUGACAGUGAGAAUAACAGAUAUUAAAAAAUAUUAGAGUCGCGGCCUAAGUCCGAUGGUGCCUUUCUGAAACUAAGAAAGCAAGUCAAAGAAAGUAUUUUGCAAAGAUCAUUAAUUCAAUCAGCCAUUGCAGUCAUCGCUUAUAUCUGGCACAGUUCAGAUUAGGUUUGAAACCGGCUUGUCAAAUUCGACACCAAAAUGGAUAAAAUGGUUCUCUAAUCCAAAUAGGACUGAGAUUGUGAAGCCGCCUUGGAGAGAGUCCCUUUUGAAAGUUGGACCAGAUAAACCAGAUCGACAAUUUAGUCCUAUGAUGUAAUCCAAUUUAACCUAUAAAUUUGUAAUUUCCUUAAAAAAAAUUCAAAAGAUUAUUUCUUCAGUUAGAUUGCCUCAAUCCGAUCAAAUUGAAAUUAAAAUUAUACCAAAUCAAAACCGUGAGUCCAAUUCAAGUUCGUUGGGCUACAAACUAAAACCGUUGAUUCUAACCUGGAACUCCCUGUGCCUAAAUCUAGUCAACACGAAUGUAGAGAAAUAAAUUAACACAGACAAAAGUGCAAUAGCAAGACCUGGGAAGGCAGAGAGCAAUUUUUUGCACAAUAGCAAUUCGCUUUUGUGUUGAAGUAAUAAGGUACUCCUGUGCGCUCCACUAAAACCUUCUCAAUCCCAGUAUCCUGGCAAAAACUGCUCAACAAUACAAUAUGCGCAGUUAGUUAUUUUUUACAAUCGCCAUAAUGCUUGCUCAAAUAUUUGAAUUCAAAUAAAAAAACAAUUAACCAUCUUUGCUUCAUUCUCUACUCCAUUAUGCCAGGACCUGAG